AACGGGUGAGUAAUGCGUGACCAACCUGCCCCAUGCUCCAGAAUAGCUCUUGGAAACGGGUGGUAAUGCUGGAUGCUCCAACUUGACGCAUGUCUUGUUGGGAAAGUGUUUAGUGGCAUGGGAUGGGGUCGCGUCCUAUCAGCUUGUAGGCGGGGUAAUGGCCCACCUAGGCUUCGACGGGUAGCCGGCCUGAGAGGGCGGACGGCCACAUUGGGACUGAGAUACGGCCCAGACUCCUACGGGAGCAGCAGUU
Molecule: ribosomal RNA, 253 nt
Filed under: uncultured Gardnerella sp.
Lineage: Bacteria; Bacillati; Actinomycetota; Actinomycetes; Bifidobacteriales; Bifidobacteriaceae
Description: partial 16S ribosomal RNA
Rfam family: Bacterial small subunit ribosomal RNA
Source: RNAcentral